Molecule: ribosomal RNA, 1479 nt
Filed under: metagenome
Description: bacterial SSU rRNA
Rfam family: Bacterial small subunit ribosomal RNA
Source: RNAcentral
AGAGUUUGAUCCUGGCUCAGGAUGAACGCUAGCGGCAGGCCUAACACAUGCAAGUCGAGGGGUAAUCCCGCUUUCGGGCGGGAACGACCGGCGCACGGGUGAGUAACGCGUAUGCAACCUACCUUUAACAGGGGGAUAGCCCGAAGAAAUUCGGAUUAAUACCCCAUAAUACUAUGAAUAAGCAUUUAUUUAUAUUAAAAACUCCGGUGGUUAAAGAUGGGCAUGCGUAACAUUAGAUAGUUGGUGAGGUAACGGCUCACCAAGUCUACGACGUUUAGGGGGCCUGAGAGGGUGGUCCCCCACACUGGUACUGAGACACGGACCAGACUCCUACGGGAGGCAGCAGUGAGGAAUAUUGCGCAAUGGAGGAAACUCUGACGCAGCCAUGCCGCGUGCAGGAUGACGGCCCUACGGGUUGUAAACUGCUUUUAUACAGGAAGAAUUUUCCGCACGUGUGCGGGAUUGACGGUACUGUACGAAUAAGCACCGGCUAACUCCGUGCCAGCAGCCGCGGUAAUACGGAGGGUGCAAGCGUUAUCCGGAUUUAUUGGGUUUAAAGGGUGCGUAGGCGGGAUAAUAAGUCAGUGGUGAAAUACUGCAGCUCAACUGUAGAACUGCCAUUGAUACUGUUAUUCUUGAGUUCGAUUGAGGUAGGCGGAAUGUGUAAUGUAGCGGUGAAAUGCUUAGAUAUUACACAGAACACCGAUUGCGUAGGCAGCUUACUAAGUCGACACUGACGCUGAGGCACGAAAGCGUGGGGAGCGAACAGGAUUAGAUACCCUGGUAGUCCACGCUGUAAACUAUGAUCACUAGCUGUUGGCGAUACAUCGAUCAGCGGCAAAGCGAAAGCAUUAAGUGAUCCACCUGGGGAGUACGGUCGCAAGAUUGAAACUCAAAGGAAUUGACGGGGGCCCGCACAAGCGGUGGAACAUGUGGUUUAAUUCGAUGAUACGCGAGGAACCUUACCUGGGCUUAAAUGCAGAUUGACGUUUCGGGAAACCGGAAUUCUCUUCGGAGCGAUUUGCAAGGUGCUGCAUGGUUGUCGUCAGCUCGUGCCGUGAGGUGUCGGGUUAAGUCCCAUAACGAGCGCAACCCCUAUCGUUAGUUGCCAGCGGAUAAUGCCGGGGACUCUAACGAAACUGCCGGUGUAAACCGAGAGGAAGGUGGGGAUGACGUCAAAUCAGCACGGCCCUUAUGUCCAGGGCUACACACGUGUUACAAUGGUCGGUACAGAGGGCAGCUACCUGGUGACAGGAUGCUAAUCUCGAAAGCCGGUCUUAGUUCGGAUCGAAGUCUGCAACUCGACUUCGUGAAGCUGGAAUCGCUAGUAAUCGCGUAUCAGCAACGACGCGGUGAAUACGUCCCGGGCCUUGUACACACCGCCCGUCAAGCCAUGGAAGCUGGGGGUACCUGAAGUCUGUAACCGCAAGGAGCGGCCUAGGGUAAAACUAGUGACUGGGGCUAAGUCGUAACAAGGUA